CCCUGGGAGAUGGAGCGCCAUUCAGGCCUGUGGCUCCUACUAGAGGAGGAGACAGAAGAGGAGUUAUCUCAUCUUCCUCUUGCUACUAAGAAAGACUCAUCGACUGGGAGAGGCGACUUCAUGUACUCCUCAAACACUAACACCCACACACCUGACGAAGCCCCGGAACCCGACUCCACAACAUGCGAUACACACACCUUGGACGCACCUGGUCCAGUCAGCGCCCCCAACAUCACCGUCUCUACACCUUCAGUGCAAAGCAUUACUCCCAUGUUACCUCUGCCCCAUGCCAGCACCCCAUCCACCGCCUCUCUCUCCUUCACACCGACUUCCACAGCCACGACCCCAGACAGCGCCUCCAUCUUUUCAUACUUCUCCACCAUGUCUAGCUGCUCGCCCAGCUCUGAGGAGAACACCAGGGAUGAAAAGGAAAUAAAACUGCAAGGGGGAGGUAAGGAGGAGGCCAGCAGCAGCUCUGGGGUGGCCAUUAACAACAGCUCAACCACCUCUGACUCUGCCACGGUCACGCCUUCUGGCUCACCUCUAUCCGGACAGCUUAAACUGGCCAGGGAAAGCACUGAUAGUGAUAUUACCUUGCAGGCAGGAACUCUACAGAGCUUCCUCCCUUGUCCAGCUCCUCCACCCAUGGUACCAACUGUGGUGCUGCGGGGAACAGGUGGACAAGUUAGAGGGUCUUUCGGUGAGAUCUUGUACGAUGGCAACACAGGGGAAACCUUUGAGGACAUUAACCCUGAAUUGCCGCCCCAAAGGCCCCUCCUCCAGCAACCAAUACUGGUUCAGAGAGAGAAGGACAGAAAGCUGGAGGUGGAGAGGAGGAAGGAGAUAGAGAGGGCGGCGCUCGGAGAGGCCUGGGUUGAUACAAAGACUCCCCUGACUCUGGAGUCUCAACCCGGAAGCAGUAAAGUAAUGCCAGGCCUGGACCCAAAGGCACUCACCAACAGCUUGCCCCCUCGCCUCCUUGCCCCUUUGCAAGGCAGCUCUGUCUUCCUUCAGCUGAAGUCCCUCAAGGACUCCCAGGGUGAAGGGUUGGAGGAAGGAGGAGCCAGGGCUCUCUGGAGCUCUGUCUUCUCUGGGAACAAGAAGGAUCGGAAAAAGAAAGGCGGGAUGUCCCUUCCAGGCAAGGCAACACCUGCAGAGAGGGGGAGGAAGGAAGCUACUAAAUCGAGAAGAGCCACAGAUUCCCGGCUCAGGAGACAUUCAAAUUUGACAGAGGAAUCUGAGCUGGCCUGUUCCACCGUGCUGCAGAGGUGCUCACUCAACCCCAGA
Molecule: long non-coding RNA, 1287 nt
Filed under: Myripristis murdjan (pinecone soldierfish)
Lineage: Eukaryota; Metazoa; Chordata; Actinopteri; Holocentriformes; Holocentridae
Description: lncRNA (ENSMMDG00005020475.1)
Source: RNAcentral